RNAcentral lists this ribosomal RNA (425 nucleotides) under uncultured bacterium. RNAcentral describes it as "bacterial SSU rRNA". It matches the Rfam family "Bacterial small subunit ribosomal RNA", at positions 354 to 796 of the family's 1533-position model. The record is from RNAcentral.
GUGGGGAAUAUUGGACAAUGGGCGCAAGCCUGAUCCAGCCAUGCCGCGUGAGUGAUGAAGGCCUUAGGGUUGUAAAGCUCUUUCAGUGGGGACGAUAAUGACGGUACCCACAGAAGAAGCCCCGGCUAACUUCGUGCCAGCAGCCGCGGUAAUACGAAGGGGGCUAGCGUUGUUCGGAUUUACUGGGCGUAAAGCGCACGUAGGCGGAUCGUUAAGUCGAGGGUGAAAUCCUGGAGCUCAACUCCAGAACUGCCUUCGAUACUGGCGAUCUUGAGUCCGGAAGAGGUGAGGGGAACGCCUAGUGUACGGGUGGAAUUCGUAGAUAUUAGGACGAACACCAGUGGCGAAGGCGGCUCACUGGGCCGGUACUGACGCUGAGGUGCGAAAGCGUGGGGAGCAAACAGGAGUAGAAACCCUGGUAGUCC